UCUGGAGAAAGACAGAGGUUGCACAACUGAGCAUCAGCAUCCUCCCAGCACAACGUGCGGCCACCCCUCAGAGCCUGGACCGAGCCACGGUCAAUGCCCCACCUGCAGAGCUUCUCCUCCUUUGGUGCCACCACAGACAUGGCUUUGCGGAGCCCCAGCCUGGAGAAGCCCGUGUAGAAGCCCAGCUUCCGGUUCCAGUUGGUCACUCGGAGGUUGUUAUCGACCAGCGUCUCGCAGGCGUGGCUGUUCUCCAGCACCGUGUGGAAGAAGGACUGUACAGCAAAGGGACAGCAGACACAGCGGGGAUGGAGGGUGGUUAAUGGAGCCCCCUACCCCUCACUCACAGAAGAACAGGAAGGCCUGGAUGGCUCCAGUUCCCAGCACAGGGCAGCCCAUAGCAGAUCAGCUCACUCCUGCACAUCACUCCUUAUCCAGCCCAGAAGUUCUGGACCCAGUGCACAGGGCUGGAUACAAACACAGCCCCCUGGCAAAUCUGCUCCUCUCCCCCCUUUCCUACCAGCAGUCACAAAGCUGCAAGAGCAGAACCUGCAAUGCCCUUCCCAGUACCCGGGGCAAGGAUGGAGCGGGGCACUGUUCAGAACAAUGGAAAGAAGGUCCCACCAAAGGCAGCACCACGUUUUGGUUUGUUUCUUGUGGUGAAGGAACAAGGCUGAGAGAAGAUCUCACAGCGCAGGCAGCUCUGAGCUCCCCUCCUGCAGCCCAGCAGCACCCACCUCGGCCGGCAGCAGCGUGUAGGUGUAGAACUGGCGCAGCUGGGACACCAGCUGGUCGUCGGCAUAGACCACGUACUGCACGAAGCUGCGCGUCAGCGAGAACCAGUCGGAGCCGCCGUCCACCACGAUGCCCUCGGGGAUGUGGCGCUCACCCAACCUCCACAUGUGUGUGUCACACUCCAGGAAGAGGCGGUCCAGACCCUGUUUUCUAAUGAACCUGGGCACAGGGACAAGCACGAGGCGUUAGGGACGUCACCUGCUUUGCCAGGACACAGAGCGGGUCUCUUUUAGCGGACGGCCCAUUUUGAACACUCCCAAUAAAGCUGGCCGCUCAGCUCUGGCAGAUACAGCCAGAACCAGCCCCUGCC
Non-coding RNA from Coturnix japonica (Japanese quail), 1102 nucleotides. The record is from RefSeq and is a predicted model, not a curated record. Lineage: Eukaryota; Metazoa; Chordata; Aves; Galliformes; Phasianidae.